Molecule: ribosomal RNA, 326 nt
Filed under: uncultured eukaryote
Lineage: Eukaryota
Description: partial 18S ribosomal RNA
Rfam family: Eukaryotic small subunit ribosomal RNA
Source: RNAcentral
CCCUUAGAUGUUCGGGGCCGCACGCGCGCUACACUGAAGGGAUCAGCGUGUCUCACCUCGCCUGAGAAGGCCGGGUAACCCGUUGAACCUCCUUCGUGCUAGGGAUUGGGGCUUGUAAUUCUUGCCCAUGAACGAGGAAUUCCCAGUAAGCGCGGGUCAUCAUCCCGCGCUGAAUACGUCCCUGCCCUUUGUACACACCGCCCGUCGCUCCCACCGAUUGAGUGGUCCGGUGAGGCUUUGGGAUCUGAGCGGAAAGAGCGUUUCGCUGUUUCUGCUCGGAAAACUCAGUCGAACCUUAUCAUUUAGAGGAAGGAGAAGUCGUAACA